GAGCCACCUGUAGCGGAGGAAACAGCGUCUGCACCGUUAUAUUCACCGUCACACCGGCAGGACACGGGGCUUCUUCACCGUCCUCCUGAGGCGUUUUACAACCAAACACUUAAAAGAUGUUUCUCAGUUAUCUGCAUGUCGUGUUUCUCCUGGGCGCUGUCGUCAAAGGAAUGACAACAACAGAUUCCAUCACGACUAAUGUCACCACCGAAGAGAUAUCCACCACUCCUGCAACUUCCUACAUGAAUGUAACUGCAAGCUCAAAUACAAGCAGCAAUCAGUCAACCAGCAGUUUUCCAACUUCACCGCUAUCGACCACAGAGCCCUUCACAGCCUCAGUAGCUACAACAACUAUAGAAAGUGCCACAGCAGAAUCUACAACUCUAAAACCGUCCACCACCAAAGGAGAGACGACAUUCUCCCAGUCCAGCACUGAGUCCAGGAACACUACAGCAGCAGUCAACACCACCGGCAGCUUCACCACUGGCAGCCCAACUGACUCGCCAUCAGCUCCAACCAGCGGUACAACGCUGUCCACUGCAAUCCCAGAGACAAGCCAACCCACCAUCACUAGUGAGACUACAAAUACAGCCACCACACCUGCUCCAGAUCACACACUGACUCCAACUACACCGAUCACACACACAAGCAACGACACAUCUACCAUUACACCAAUCACAAGCAACGACACAACUACCAUUACACCAAUCACUAGCAACGACACAUCUACCAUUACACCAAUCACAAGCAACGACACAACUACCAUUACACCGAUCACAAGCAACGACACAACUACCAUUACACCAAUCACCAGCAACGACACAUCUACCAUUACACCGAUCACAAGCAACGACACAACUACCAUUACACCAAUCACCAGCAACGACACAUCUACCAUUACACCGAUCACAAGCAACGACACAUCUACCAUUACACCAAUCACAAGCAACGACACAUCUACCAUUACACCAAUCACAAGCAACGACACAACUACCAUUACACCAAUCACAAGCAACGACACAUCUACCAUUACACCAAUCACAAGCAACGACACAUCUACCAUUACACCAAUCACAAGCAACGACACAUCUACCAUUACACCAAUCACAAGCAACGACACAACUACCAUUACACCAAUCACAAGCAACGAUACAUCUACCAUUACACCAAUCACAAGCAACGACACAUCUACCAUUACACCAAUCACAAGCAACGACACAUCUACCAUUACACCAAUCACAAGCAACGACACAUCUACCAUUACACCAAUCACAAGCAACGACACAUCUACCAUUACACCAAAUACAAGCAACGACACAUCUACCAUUACACCAAUCACAAGCAACGACACAUCUACCAUUACACCAAUCACAAGCAACGACACAUCUACCAUUACACCAAUCACAAGCAACGACACAACUACCAUUACACCAAUCACAAGCAACGACACAUCUGCCAUUACACCAAUCACAAGCAACGACACAUCUACCAUUACACCGAUCACAAGCAACGACACAACUACCAUUACACCAAUCACAAGCAACGACACAUCUACAAUCACACCGACUACACAGUCCAACAACAACACAACCUUCAUUACAGCCACGACACAGCCCAGCAACAUCACAACAACUCCAGCAACCACACAAACCAGCAACGGCACAGCAAGUUCAACUACAGUAACUCCAGAAAACUCUACAGCUGUACUAACUACAACUACACUAAUAAACUCUACUAACACCUCUCCUGAGAGUCCUGCACCCACCAUCACACCCUCAUCCUCCACUAACACCUCAAACCCAACCCUAACACCUGGAACCCCACCCUCUUCCACUACCUCCAUCUCCAGCUCUCUCCCUGCAAGUAAUAGCACUGCUCCCACCACCGGAAAUACCACCACCCUUACUCCCUCAACAACAACCUCAGGAGUGACCGGCCACACCACUGUGGUUCAUUCAACUGAACCAUCUAGUGGCAGUACAACAGCCUCAUCCACCACCAUCACUGGCACCAGCCUGCGACCAACAGAAAUCACCACCAACAACUCCACCACAGCAGCCCCACCCAUCCCUCCAGUCAAAGUUUGUCCUUUCGUCCCGUGCCCACUUCAAAGCGUGUGUCUUAAUGGCACUUGCCAGUGUCUCUCUGGCAGCUACCUGGUGAAUGACCGCUGUGUACAGGCCCAAGUGUUCCCAGGCCAGCUUCAUCUCACAUCCUUGACAUUCACAAGUGAAAUGAGCAACAGGUCCUCUGUAAUAUUCCAGAAGACAGCGGCUCAAAUCUCAGCAUCGCUCAGAGAUGCCCUCAAAAACCAGCAGGGCUAUAAACAGUCUGAUGUUGUGCAACUUGAGUGAGUAUUUUGUCUUCCUACAGCAAAAAAUAUAUGAUGCCACUUUACAAAAUAUUUUUUUGUAACCUUCUUUGGUGCUUCACUUUUCUUUAGACCGGGAAGUGUGCAAGCAACUGUAAAUAACAUAUUUGAAAACACCAACACAAAUGAAACGUCUGUUGAUGAGGCCAUUCAGAAGGCUAUAGAGAACUCAGCAAAUCCAUUGUUGGCUGAUGCUACAUUUAGAGGUUAGUAGUUGCUGCUACACUGAUUGAUUUUGGAUGAGAACCUGACAUGUAUGAGCAACAGGCUACAUUAUUUCAAGAAGAGGAGGUUUUUCUCAUACACUUGUUUUACAUCUUCUCUGUUUUAGCUACAGACCUGUGUAUGCAGCAGCCAUUACCCUGUGAUGUCUCCACUACAUUGUGCACAAAUAGAAAUGGCCGGCCUGUUUGUUCCUGUAAAGAAGGCUUCAUCUCUAUCCUGUACUCAAACAGCACCUGCAAAGGUAAAAGAGACUAUUAAAUAUUCUUUAUUCAUCUCCUUUAUCAUGACUGGUGUUAGGUUUUUGCAAUUUUGACAAUGUACCUGGCACUAGAG
Long non-coding RNA from Cottoperca gobio, 2929 nucleotides. The record is from Ensembl. NCBI's taxonomy places the organism in Eukaryota, Metazoa, Chordata, Actinopteri, Perciformes, Bovichtidae.